CUGGCUCAGGAUGAACGCUAGCGGCAGGCCUAACACAUGCAAGUCGCGGGGCAGCACAGGUAGCAAUACCUGGUGGCGACCGGCGCACGGGUGCGUAACGCGUAUGCAACCUGCCCCCAUCAGGGGAAUAGCCCGCCGAAAGGCGGAUUAAUGCCCCAUAGGCCCAGGGCGCCGCAUGGCGCUAUGGGUAAAGCUCCGGCGGAUGGGGAUGGGCAUGCGUGCCAUUAGCUAGUUGGGGCGGCAACGGCGCACCAAGGCGACGAUGGCUAGGGGGUCUGAGAGGAUGGUCCCCCACACUGGUACUGAGACACGGACCAGACUCCUACGGGAGGCAGCAGUGAGGAAUAUUGGUCAAUGGGCGGAAGCCUGAACCAGCCAUGCCGCCGUGCAGGAUGACGGCCCUACGGGUUGUAAGCUGCUUUUCCCCGGGAAGAAUAAGCCCCUCGUGAGGGGUGAUGCCGGUACCGGGGGAAUAAGGAUCGGCUAACUCCGUGCCAGCAGCAGC
RNAcentral lists this ribosomal RNA (505 nucleotides) under uncultured bacterium. RNAcentral's name for it is "bacterial SSU rRNA". It matches the Rfam family "Bacterial small subunit ribosomal RNA", at positions 19 to 518 of the family's 1533-position model. The record is from RNAcentral.